GAUGAACGCUGGCGGCGUGCUUAACACAUGCGAGUCGAGCGAGAAGUUUUGAAAAGAUUCUUCGGAUGAAAUUUAAAAUGGAAAGCGGCGGACGGGUGAGUAACGCGUAGGCAACCUGCCCCAUACAAAGGGAUAGCAUUUGGAAACGAAUAUUAAUACCUUAUGAAACUUAACUAGUGCAUGCUAGGUAGGUCAAAGAUUUAUCGGUAUGGGAUGGGCCUGCGUCUGAUUAGCUAGUUGGUGAGGUAACGGCUCACCAAGGCGACGAUCAGUAGCCGACCUGAGAGGGUGAACGGCCACAUUGGAACGGAGACACGGUCCAAACUCCUACGGGAGGCAGCAGUGGGGAAUAUUGCACAAUGGGGGAAACCCUGAUGCAGCAACGCCGCGUGAACGAUGAAGGCCUUUGGGUCGUAAAGUUCUGUUCUAGGUGAUGAAAACUGACAGUAACCUAGGAGAAAGCCCCGGCUAACUCCGUG
RNAcentral lists this ribosomal RNA (479 nucleotides) under uncultured bacterium. RNAcentral's name for it is "partial 16S ribosomal RNA". It matches the Rfam family "Bacterial small subunit ribosomal RNA", at positions 28 to 507 of the family's 1533-position model. The record is from RNAcentral.